AAAAUUAACUGUAUUAAAAAAGAUUAGAUGAUACACUCGAAUAAUAAAACCUUGCUACGUGUAUGAUAUUUUUCCCCACCAUUAAUAAUAAUAUUUAUAAUAAUAAUAAAUUUUCUCAAGAUAUUUACUAAAGCAAGUAUAAUGACUAUUUUUUCAGGUUUCGUAAAUAUAUUAAGGAGUAGACACUAGUCAUGAGUUUUAAAAUUGCAUAUACCCUAUAGUACAAUGUCUGCCUUGUAGCACGAAAUUAGGGUUUUCUUGUCUGCCGUGUCCCACGAAAUUCAAAUCUAGGGCUUUGAGUUUUCUGCAGAUUAAAGGGGGAAAAUUACUAGAAGACAAAGGUGAGUCAUGGCCAAUGUAGAACUGGUAGAUACGGAGCUAGCCAAAUCUCAAUAUCAUAGAUGAAGAGGAAGAUCCCAUGGUGGUUUUGGAAGAAAAUAAGGCUGAUGAAGAGGUAUAUAAUCUUUGUUUGGUGGGGAGAGUUCUUACGGAUAGUGUUGUGAACUUCCCAUCCUUAAGAAACGCUCUGGCUGAUUUAUGGCAUCCAUUGAGAGGGGUAUCAAUCACAGAAUUGGAGAAUAAAAGGAUCUUAUUUAGAUUUUACAGUAAGAUUGAUUUAAAGCGAGUCCUGGAUGGAAUGCCAUGGUUUUUUAACCGUCAUCUUAUUAUUUUCCACAAAUUAGCAGGGGGCGAAGAUCCAAAUUUGAUUCCCCUAUGGCUCACAGCUUUUUUGGUGCAAGUCCACAACCUGCCAAUAGGUGCUACAUCUGAGGGAACAGCGCGCUAGCUUGGUGAAUUUGUUGGAAAAUUUAUGGAGUAUGACUCAACGUUGGUGACAAGAGGAGGUAGUAAAUUCAUGAGAAUCAGGGUUCUACUUGAUGUUCGGAUACCUCUUAAAAGGAAAAAACGAAUUUGCAUUGAGCAUAAUAAAUUUAUUUAUGUUUUAUUCCACUAUGAAAGAUUGUCACUUUUUUGCUUUAUUUGUGAGAGACUUGGUCAUGGAGAGAGUUACUGUGAAGUAAGACUAACUUCUGGGAAUCAACAAGUGGAGUUUGGAUGGGAUCUGUCGCUGAGAACAACGCCAAGACGGGGAGGACAAGCCGUGAGCAAAUGGCUAAGAGAGGAACCAGAAAAGGAUAAAUGGAAUAUGGAGAUUGAUGGGGAAAGCGGGGUAAGAAGAUCCGAUGAGGAGGUUAAAAAUAGAAACGAGCUCCGAGAAGAAGCACGUUUUUUGGGACGCUUCACACGGAAAAUACGGAUUAUAAACACAAGGGAUAGUAUUAAUUCGAGGCAUAUGGAAGACAGGGAAUUCGAAGAAGAGAUGGAAGAUUUACCAGUAGAGCUUGUGGAUGGAAAAAAGAGACAGAGGAUUAAUUUAGAAGGGGAGGUUCUGGGUAAUAUUAAGAACCUAGCAGAAGGAGAUGUAGAGAACAUUUUAUCGGCGGUCACCUCAAAGGUAGCUGACCGGGCGCAAUGAAAAUCCUAAGUUGGAAUGUUCGGGGUUUGGGACAACCACGAACAGUUCGACGUAUCAAAAACAAAUUGAGACAUAUCAAGCCUCAGAUUUUGUUUCUUAUGGAAACAAAGGUCACAAGUAAACGGGUGGAAUCAAUAAGAAGGCAAUGUGGGUUUAUAAAUGGAAUCGAUGUGGCGGCAGUAGGCACGAAAGGAGGGUUAUCAUUAGGGUGGAAUGAGGGUUGGAAUGUAACUUUGAAAAGUUUCUCGAAAUCCCAUAUUGAUGUAGAAAUAGAGAAUGAAGAUGAGAUGGGCCCCAUGGAGACUCACAGGAUUUUACGAAUAACCAAUUGAGAAUUAAAGGAAAAAGUCUUAGGAACUAUUAAAAAUUCUAAAAUGUGAUAAUAGUAAGCCAUGGCUGACUAUCAGAGAUUUUAAUGAAAUUCUUUACUCUUUUGAGAAAAAAAGGGGGAAGAAUUCGAGAGAAAAGACAGAUGGCUGCAUUUAGGGAAGCACUUGAAUACUGCGAUCUACAUGACUUGCGGUUCUUUGGACAGUGGUACACAUGGAAGAGAGGUCGUCUGGCUGCAAACAAUUUUAGGGAAAGACUGGAUAGAGGUGUAGCAAAUAUGGAAUGGUGGGAUCUUUUUCCAAGAUAUAAGGUUAACCACUUACAACAUAAUUUUUCUGAUCAUUUUCCGGUAGAGGUAGAUACACUUGGGGAUGGAGGGAUGCAAUGGGGGGUAAAACAAUGGCGUUUUCGUUUUGAUGCAAAUUGGAUUUUGAAUGAUGAAAUUGAGGAGCGGGUAAAACAGGAAUGGAACUCCAAUAGCUUAGAUGUGCUUGAAAAGUUGAAAAAAGUGGGAGUGAAUCUGAGUACUUGGGCGAAGAAUGAGAAACGAAGGAAAGAACAAAGAAUGGAAGUUUUAAAUGGAAGAUUAUCAAAUUUAGGUGCUAGCGAAAUCAAUGAUACUGUAUUGGAGGAAAUUAUAGAGAUUAAGUUAGAAUUGAAUCUCGAAGCAGAUAAAGAGGAGCUAUUCUGGGAAGAAAUGGCAAGAGUUAACUGGCUCAGUAUGGGAGACAAGAAUACGGCAUUUUUGCACAAGAAUGCAACAAAUCGCAGAAGGAAAAAUAGCAUUAGGGGGCUGGAAAAUGAAGCUGGACAAUUGAUUACUGAUGAGUCUGAAAUUAUGGCUUUGGCAGCUAAGUUCUUCAAAGAAUUGUUCGCAUCUCAACCUGUAAACAAUUGUGAUAGAUUGUUUGAUUCUUUUUUACCAUGCAUUAUAGAUGAACAUAACAGUAUUUAAAUGGAGGAAUUUAAAGAAGAAGAAGUGGUGAGGGCGAUAAAAUCCAUAGCACCCCUCAAAGCAUUAGGACAGGAUGGAUUCCUAGCAAUUUUUUAUCAAAAAUACUGGCAUAUUGUUGGAAAGGAAGUUUCAAAAUUUUGCUUGGAUAUUCUUAAUGGGAGAAGAAAUUUUGAAGAGAUAAACAAUACAAAUAUAGUUCUUAUCCCCAAGAAGAAAUCGCCAAAAUCUAUGAAUAAGUUUCGUCCUAUUAGUUUGUGCAAUGUAAUCUAUAAAAUUGUCUCAAAAGUCAUUGUUUCCCGUUUUUGACAGGUACUGGAUUUAUGUAUUGAGGAUACAUAAGGUGCGUUUGUACCGGGAAGGCAAAUUACAGGCAACAUCCUCAUAGCAUAUGAGGUAUUGCAUUCUUUCAAAAAAAGAAGAGGAAUAUUGAAUAAAAGUUUCGCUUUAAAACUGGAUAUGAGCAAGGCAUAUGACAGAGUUGAGUGGAGUUUUUUAGAAAAAAUGAUGCGUAGUAUGGGCUUCUGUGAGGAUUGGAUUUUACUCAUUAUGAAAUGUAUCACUAGUGUAAUAUACACAGUGGCGAUUAAUGGGAAGAAUGGGGAAGAAUUCAGGCCAAAACGAGGAUUAAGACAAGGUGAUCCAUUAAGUCCAUACUUAUUUCUCAUUUUUGCAGAAUGAUUUUCAAGGCUAAUUACGCUCGUAAAAAGGGAAGGGAGGCUUUCAGGAACUAAGGUGGGAAGAGGUAACGUUUCGGUAUCACAUAUGUUCUUUGCAGAUGAUAGUAUACUAUUUGGAGAAGCUUUAGCAGAAGGAGCAAAUAGCAUGAACCGGGUGAUUCAAGAGUACGAAAAAGUUUCUGGGCAAUUGGUCAAUUUUGAUAAGUCCCUUAUCUUUUUCAGCGGCAAUGUGGAUUUGAUUACACAGGGUCAAGUGGGAAGGAUGUUAGGUGUCAGGAUUUCUAACAAUCCGGAGAAAUAUUUGCGGCUACCAACUAUGGUGGGUCCCCGAAAAAAGCAUGCUUUUGUGACUAUAAAAGAGAAAUGUGUGAAGUUAUUGGACAAUUGGAAGAUGAGAUUUUUAUCGGCUGGAGGAAAGGAGGUACUUUUAAAAUCUAUUUUGCAAGCAAUUCUGGUUUACGCAAUGCAAUGUUUUAAGUUACCUAUUACAUUUUGUCAAGAUCUCGAGAAUUUAAUGUCCAAAAUUUGGUGGCGGAAUUCUAAAACAAAUAAAGGGAUUCACUGGUGCAAAUGGAAAGAUUUAUGUAUCCCCAAAGCAAAGGGAGGGUUAGGUUUUAAAGAUCUGUCAAAGUUUAAUUUGGCCCUGUUAGCAAAGCAGGGGUGGAAACUUAUUAUGCAACCUGAUUGUUUGUUAGCACGUGUUAUGAAAGCCAAGUAUUAUCCGAAAGGGGAUUUUAUGUGUGCGGGUUUAGGAGCCUACCCUUCGUUUACCUGGCGCAGCAUUUUGGGAGCUAGAUACCUUCUCGAAGAAGGAAUGGAAUGAUGAAUCGGUAAUGGGGAUUCAGUUAACAUCUGGAAUGAUAAAUGGCUGCCGGGAUCUGGAAAUGGUAGAAUAGAAUGUCAAAAUAUUGAUAUUAGGUAUACUAAAGUGUUUGAUCUAAUUAACAAAGAAGAGAAUACCUGGAAACAAGAGAUUAUUCGCACACUGUUCGGAGAGGAGCAAUUGCGGCACAUAGUUUCAAUCCCCUUGGUGAGCAAUAGGAUACAAGAUGUUCCAGUAUGAUGUGGUGACAACACUGGGGUAUACACAGCAAAGAGCGGCUACAGAUGGCUUAUUCUAGAAGGGGGUACAAGGAUAAAUAAUGAAACUUCUACUACUUUCUUUACAAAGUUUUGGGAGAUCAAGAUCCCAAGUAAAAUAUGUAUCCUAAUAUGGAGAAUUGCUAAUGACUAUCUACCUACUUUACAUAACCUAAAAGCCCGUUACUUGGUUGUCAACACUGUAUGCCCGGUAUGUCAAACUGAAGAGGAAUCGGUGGAUCACCUCUUUAGAGGUUGUUUCUUCACACAACAGGU
RNAcentral lists this long non-coding RNA (4795 nucleotides) under Gossypium raimondii (Peruvian cotton). Its description in RNAcentral is "long non-coding RNA (GRAI_LNC009352)". The record is from RNAcentral. Lineage: Eukaryota; Viridiplantae; Streptophyta; Magnoliopsida; Malvales; Malvaceae.